UGCUGCUGAUGACAUUUAUUUGCUACUCUUGAUCAAACGAUGAUGAUACCAGCAACCACCUAUUUUAUUAUCUGAGGCA
This is a small nucleolar RNA of Limanda limanda (common dab), 79 nucleotides long. RefSeq annotates it as small nucleolar RNA SNORD24. The transcript has a single exon. The record is from RefSeq and is a predicted model, not a curated record. Lineage: Eukaryota; Metazoa; Chordata; Actinopteri; Pleuronectiformes; Pleuronectidae.